RNAcentral lists this transfer RNA (69 nucleotides) under Ictidomys tridecemlineatus (thirteen-lined ground squirrel). RNAcentral's name for it is "Spermophilus tridecemlineatus (thirteen-lined ground squirrel) tRNA". It matches the Rfam family "tRNA". Rfam says of the family: Transfer RNA (tRNA) molecules are approximately 80 nucleotides in length. Their secondary structure includes four short double-helical elements and three loops (D, anti-codon, and T loops). Further hydrogen bonds mediate the characteristic L-shaped molecular structure. tRNAs have two regions of fundamental functional importance: the anti-codon, which is responsible for specific mRNA codon recognition, and the 3' end, to which the tRNAs corresponding amino acid is attached (by aminoacyl-tRNA synthetases). tRNAs cope with the degeneracy of the genetic code in two manners: having more than one tRNA (with a specific anti-codon) for a particular amino acid; and 'wobble' base-pairing, i.e. permitting non-standard base-pairing at the 3rd anti-codon position. The record is from Rfam by way of RNAcentral. Lineage: Eukaryota; Metazoa; Chordata; Mammalia; Rodentia; Sciuridae.
GGGGUUGUGGCUCAGUGGUAGAGCACUUGCCUAGCACGUGUGAGGCCCUGGGUUCAAUCCUCAGCACCA